RNAcentral lists this ribosomal RNA (499 nucleotides) under Baseodiscinae sp. 7DS. RNAcentral's name for it is "partial 16S ribosomal RNA". It matches the Rfam family "Bacterial large subunit ribosomal RNA", at positions 1817 to 2597 of the family's 2925-position model. Lineage: Eukaryota; Metazoa; Nemertea; Pilidiophora; Heteronemertea; Baseodiscidae. RNAcentral also lists the same sequence under 1 other name. The record is from RNAcentral.
AGCUUGUUGUAAUUUUAUAAUAAGUAGCUUCUGCCCGGUGAAAAUUUUUAACGGCCGCGGUAUUUUGACCGUGCAAAGGUAGCAUAAUCAUUUGCCUUUUAAUUGUGGGCUGGAAUGAAAGAAGGAUCAAGUGUGAAGCUGUCUCUUAAUAGUUGUUAAAAUUUUCUAUUAUUGUGAAGAAGCAAUAAUGUUAAAAAGGGACAAGAAGACCCUAUCGAGCUUUACUAGUAUAGUAAGUAUAAAGUUAUAAAUAAAUAGUUUAUUAUUAAAGUGGUUUUAUUGGGGCGAUAAGAAAAGAAAAAAUCUUUUCUGUAUAAUUAACUAACUAGUUUAAUUUUGAACAGUUUAUAACUUUUAAUGGAACAAGUUACCGUAGGGAUAACAGCGUAAUUUUUUUUAGAGUACGUAUCGAAAAAAGAGUUUGCGACCUCGAUGUUGACUUAUUAUUUCCUAUUGGAGCAGUUGCUAAAAAGGUUGUCUGUUCGACCAUUAAAAUAGU